UACGAAGGGGGCUAGCGUUGUUCGGAAUCACUGGGCGUAAAGCGCACGUAGGCGGAUCGUUAAGUCGGGGGUGAAAUCCUGGAGCUCAACUCCAGAACUGCCUUCGAUACUGGCGAUCUUGAGUCCGGAAGAGGUGAGUGGAACUCCUAGUGUAGAGGUGGAAUUCGUAUAUAUUAGGAAGAACACCAGUGGCGAAGGCGGCUCACUGGUCCGGUACUGACGCUGAGGUGCGAAAGCGUGGGGAGCGAACAGG
This 253-nucleotide ribosomal RNA is filed under the name uncultured bacterium. Its description in RNAcentral is "partial 16S ribosomal RNA". It matches the Rfam family "Bacterial small subunit ribosomal RNA", at positions 524 to 776 of the family's 1533-position model. The record is from RNAcentral.